GGGGAAUAUUGGACAAUGGGCGCAAGCCUGAUCCAGCAAUGCCGCGUGAGUGAAGAAGGUCUUCGGAUUGUAAAGCUCUUUUGGCGGGGACGAUGAUGACGGUACCCGCAGAAUAAGCCCCGGCUAACUUCGUGCCAGCAGCCGCGGUAAUACGAAGGGGGCUAGCGUUGCUCGGAAUGACUGGGCGUAAAGGGCGCGUAGGCGGAUUGUACAGUCAGACGUGAAAUUCCUGGGCUCAACCUGGGGACUGCGUUUGAUACGUAUAGUCUUGAGUGAGGAAGAGGGUUGUGGAAUUCCCAGUGUAGAGGUGAAAUUCGUAGAUAUUGGGAAGAACACCGGUGGCGAAGGCGGCAACCUGGUCCUUUACUGACGCUGAGGCGCGAAAGCGUGGGGAGCAAAC
RNAcentral lists this ribosomal RNA (400 nucleotides) under uncultured bacterium. RNAcentral describes it as "bacterial SSU rRNA". It matches the Rfam family "Bacterial small subunit ribosomal RNA", at positions 356 to 773 of the family's 1533-position model. The record is from RNAcentral.